This 249-nucleotide ribosomal RNA is filed under the name Triticum aestivum (bread wheat). Its description in RNAcentral is "partial small subunit ribosomal RNA". Lineage: Eukaryota; Viridiplantae; Streptophyta; Magnoliopsida; Poales; Poaceae. The record is from RNAcentral.
AUGAGGACUAGCCAGAUGUUGCUCUUGAUGACGGCCUUCCUUGUCCUAGCAUCAGAUGCGGUAACAAAGGCGUCAGCGGCCGUUGAAGGAGACCCCUGUGUGUCAAGCAUUAUCCCAUCACCAAAGCCAUGUGAUAAUAAAAGCUGCAAUAAGGCAUGCAUCGACCACCUGAUGUGGAGCGGCGGACAUGGCGAGUGUGUUGCGGAGGGGUGCAAGUGCCUGGAUUGCGUUAAAAUGGAUACUAUUUAG